RNAcentral lists this ribosomal RNA (913 nucleotides) under Staphylococcus aureus. Its description in RNAcentral is "partial 23S ribosomal RNA". It matches the Rfam family "Bacterial large subunit ribosomal RNA", at positions 2010 to 2925 of the family's 2925-position model. The record is from RNAcentral. Lineage: Bacteria; Bacillati; Bacillota; Bacilli; Caryophanales; Staphylococcaceae.
UGGGCACUGUCUCAACGAGAGACUCGGUGAAAUCAUAGUACCUGUGAAGAUGCAGGUUACCCGCGACAGGACGGAAAGACCCCGUGGAGCUUUACUGUAGCCUGAUAUUGAAAUUCGGCACAGCUUGUACAGGAUAGGUAGGAGCCUUUGAAACGUGAGCGCUAGCUUACGUGGAGGCGCUGGUGGGAUACUACCCUAGCUGUGUUGGCUUUCUAACCCGCACCACUUAUCGUGGUGGGAGACAGUGUCAGGCGGGCAGUUUGACUGGGGCGGUCGCCUCCUAAAAGGUAACGGAGGCGCUCAAAGGUUCCCUCAGAAUGGUUGGAAAUCAUUCAUAGAGUGUAAAGGCAUAAGGGAGCUUGACUGCGAGACCUACAAGUCGAGCAGGGUCGAAAGACGGACUUAGUGAUCCGGUGGUUCCGCAUGGAAGGGCCAUCGCUCAACGGAUAAAAGCUACCCCGGGGAUAACAGGCUUAUCUCCCCCAAGAGUUCACAUCGACGGGGAGGUUUGGCACCUCGAUGUCGGCUCAUCGCAUCCUGGGGCUGUAGUCGGUCCCAAGGGUUGGGCUGUUCGCCCAUUAAAGCGGUACGCGAGCUGGGUUCAGAACGUCGUGAGACAGUUCGGUCCCUAUCCGUCGUGGGCGUAGGAAAUUUGAGAGGAGCUGUCCUUAGUACGAGAGGACCGGGAUGGACAUACCUCUGGUGUACCAGUUGUCGUGCCAACGGCAUAGCUGGGUAGCUAUGUGUGGACGGGAUAAGUGCUGAAAGCAUCUAAGCAUGAAGCCCCCCUCAAGAUGAGAUUUCCCAACUUCGGUUAUAAGAUCCCUCAAAGAUGAUGAGGUUAAUAGGUUCGAGGUGGAAGCAUGGUGACAUGUGGAGCUGACGAAUACUAAUCGAUCGAAGACUUAAUCAA